Molecule: long non-coding RNA, 535 nt
Filed under: Nicotiana benthamiana
Lineage: Eukaryota; Viridiplantae; Streptophyta; Magnoliopsida; Solanales; Solanaceae
Description: long non-coding RNA (NBEN_LNC039960)
Source: RNAcentral
UCGGGUGCAAAGUUUGCAGGAAGCCGAAAGAAGGAGCAGGUAGCCUGCAAUAGACAUUAUAAAGGAAAUCAGCAGUACCAUCAAUUCUAAGCCAAAUUAAUGAUUUAAUAUUGUACAACACCUAGUAAAUAAACACUUGCCUCUAGAGUUGCAAGGUCUUGUGGAUCCAAAUUACAUCCAGUAAGUACAUGAAGAAGGAUAGACGGGUUGGCUGACAAUGGGAAUUCGCCAGGAGUCGCAUUCCCAAAGCAGUGCCGCACUUGUCUUUGAAACGUUGAUGUGGGGGUGGUUAGACAUUAUAAAGGAAAUCAGCAGCACCAUCAAUUCUAAGCCAAAUUAAUGAUUUAAUAUUGUACAACACCUAGUAAAUAAACACUUGCCUCUAGAGUUGCAAGGUCUUGUGGAUCCAAAUUACAUCCAGUAAGUACAUGAAGAAGGAUAGACGGGUUGGCUGACAAUGGGAAUUCACCAGGAGUGGCAUUCCCAAAGCAGUGCCGCACUUGUCUUUGAAACGUUGAUGUGGGGGUGGUUACAA